RNAcentral lists this ribosomal RNA (492 nucleotides) under uncultured bacterium. RNAcentral describes it as "partial 16S ribosomal RNA". It matches the Rfam family "Bacterial small subunit ribosomal RNA", at positions 29 to 507 of the family's 1533-position model. The record is from RNAcentral.
AGUGAACGCUGGCGGUAGGCCUAACACAUGCAAGUCGAACGGCCGCACAGUAAGAGCUUGCUCUUACGGGUGGCGAGUGGCGGACGGGUGAGGAAUACAUCGGAAUCUACUUUUUCGUGGGGGAUAACGUAGGGAAACUUACGCUAAUACCGCAUACGACCUACGGGUGAAAGCAGGGGUUCUUCGGACCUUGCGCGAUUGAAUGAGCCGAUGUCGGAUUAGCUAGUUGGCGGGGUAAAGGCCCACCAAGGCGACGAUCCGUAGCUGGUCUGAGAGGAUGAUCAGCCACACUGGAACUGAGACACAGUCCAGACUCCUACGGGAGGCAGCAGUGGGGAAUAUUGGGCAAUGGGCGCAAGCCUGAUCCAGCCAUACCGCGUGAGUGAAGAAGGCCUUCGGGUUGUAAAGCCCUUUUGUUGGGAAAGAAAAGCAGCAGGUUAAUACCCCGCUGUUCUGACGGUACCCAAAGAAUAAGCACCGGCUAACUUCGUG